GACGAACGCUGGCGGCGUGCUUAACACAUGCAAGUCGAGCGAUGAAAGCCUUAUGAACUAUUCGUAGUGAUUGAGGCCGGAUUAGCGGCGGACGGGUGAGUAACGCGUGAGCAACCUGCCUUAAACAACGGGAUAGCCUCGGGAAACCGGGAUUAAUACCGUAUGAGACCCCGCCUUCACAUGAAGAAGAGGUUAAAGAUUUAUCGGUUUAAGAUGGGCUCGCGUCUGAUUAGCUAGUUGGUGAGAUAAAAGCCCACCAAGGCAACGAUCAGUAACCGGCUUGAGAGAGUGAACGGUCACAUUGGAACUGAGACACGGUCCAAACUCCUACGGGAGGCAGCAGUGGGGAAUAUUGCACAAUGGGGGAAACCCUGAUGCAGCGACGCCGCGUGAGCGAUGAAGGAAUUCGUUUCGUAAAGCUCUGUCCAAGGGGAAGAUAAUGACAGUACCCUUGGAGGAAGCCCCGGCUAAAUACGUGCCAGCCGCCGCUGUAA
RNAcentral lists this ribosomal RNA (494 nucleotides) under uncultured bacterium. RNAcentral describes it as "partial 16S ribosomal RNA". It matches the Rfam family "Bacterial small subunit ribosomal RNA", at positions 28 to 523 of the family's 1533-position model. The record is from RNAcentral.